This 870-nucleotide ribosomal RNA is filed under the name uncultured bacterium. RNAcentral's name for it is "bacterial SSU rRNA". It matches the Rfam family "Bacterial small subunit ribosomal RNA", at positions 1 to 862 of the family's 1533-position model. The record is from RNAcentral.
UUCCCCCUUUAGAUUUUGAUUCUGGGUCCCGGACGAACGGUUGGGCGGCGGGCUUAACCCCUGCAAUUUGGACGAAGAUUUUUCGGAAGGAGGAUUUUUCCCACGGAAGUUGGAGAAAAGUGCCGGACGGUUGAGUAAGGCGUGAGAACCUUCCCUUGAGGAGGGGGACAACAGUUGGAAACGACUGCUAUUACCGCAUGAAGCAUAGGGUUCGCAUGAUUCUUAUGNAAAAGAUUUAUCGCUUCAAGAUGGCUUCGCGUCUGAUUAGCUAGUUGGCGGGGUAACGCCCCACCAAGGCGACGAUCAGUAGCCGGACUGAGAGGUGAACGGGCCACAUUGGGACUGAGAUACGGCCCAGACUCUUACGGGAGGCAGCAGUGGGGAAUAUUGGGCAAUGGGCGCAAGCCUGACCCAGCAACGCCGCGUGAAGGAAGAAGGCUUUCGGGUUGUAAACUUCUUUUAAGAGGGAAGAGCAGAAGACGGUACCUCUAGAAUAAGCCACGGCUAACUACGUGCCAGCAGCCGCGGUAAUACGUAGGUGGCAAGCGUUGUCCGGAUUUACUGGGUGUAAAGGGCGUGCAGCCGGGUCUGCAAGUCAGAUGUGAAAUCCAUGGGCUCAACCCAUGAACUGCAUUUGAAACUGUAGGUCUUGAGUGUCGGAGGGGCAAUCGGAAUUCCUAGCGUAGCGGUGAAAUGCGUAGAUAUUAGGAGGAACACCAGUGGCGAAGGCGGAUUGCUGGACGAUAACUGACGGUGAGGCGCGAAAGUGUGGGGAGCAAACAGGAUUAGAUACCCUGGUAGUCCACACUGUAAACGAUGAAUACUAGGUGUGCGGGGACUGACCCCCUGCGUGCCGCAGUAAACACAAUA